RNAcentral lists this ribosomal RNA (483 nucleotides) under uncultured bacterium. Its description in RNAcentral is "partial 16S ribosomal RNA". It matches the Rfam family "Bacterial small subunit ribosomal RNA", at positions 28 to 523 of the family's 1533-position model. The record is from RNAcentral.
GAUGAACGCUGGCGGCGUGCCUAAUACAUGCAAGUCGAGCGAACCACUUCGGUGGUGAGCGGCGAACGGGUGAGUAACACGUAGGUGAUCUGCCCAUCAGACGGGGACAACGAUUGGAAACGAUCGCUAAUACCGGAUAGGACGAAAGUUUAAAGGUGCUUCUAGCACCGCUGAUGGAUGAGCCUGCGGCGCAUUAGCUAGUUGGUAGGGUAAAGGCCUACCAAGGCGACGAUGCGUAGCCGACCUGAGAGGGUGAACGGCCACACUGGGACUGAGACACGGCCCAGACUCCUACGGGAGGCAGCAGUAGGGAAUCUUCGGCAAUGGGCGGAAGCCUGACUGAGCAACGCCGCGUGAAUGAUGAAGGCCUUCGGGUUGUAAAAUUCUGUUAUAAGGGAAGAACGACUUUAGUAGGAAAUGGCUAGAGUGUGACGGUACCUUAUGAGAAAGCCACGGCUAACUACGUGCCAGUCGCCGCAGUAA